ACACAUGAUUUUUACCUCUAAGAAUUCUCUCAAAUCAAAAAAUCUCUUUCUUAUUAAAAAGAAGAUCUUCUCAAAUCAAAUUGAGUGCUCCACAAUAACUUUCAAAAUCAAAGUUCCAGAUCUUGGUAACGAUUCACGGAGAGUAUCCAAACUCUACUCUAGGUGUGAUUUUGGCUAAAAACAAUUCUCAAAUGGCUUAUGCAGAAGUACUAUGAUCCAAAGAUACAAGCAUGGUUCUUCUUUAGUUCUAAGGAUGAUGUGAAUGUGGGAUCAACUGCACCACUCCUCUAUUUAUUCAUGGACUAAGUAUGUUCAUUCAGAAGGUCUUCAGAGGCUAAUACGCGAGCAUAGUUCAUAAAACAUGAAGACUUGCAUGUUGCACUAUUGCAGGUCAUCAGAGGAUAAUCCACGAGCAUAUUUCAUCUUCUCGCUGACAAUAAAUUAACAAUGAGAAUAGUGGUGAAUUCAGAUGUGUUGACCAACGAGGAAAGUUGAGAGGAGGCUUUUGUCAACUGGGUUAGUGUGUCUGAACAAUGGAAACAAGAUCAUAACAUGAAUGAGAGUUACCGGGACAAUGGAAUAUAUUCCAGAAGCAAAGCUGUUCAGUGGACCCAUACUUCUGAUACCAGGGGGGUUAUUUCCUUAUUGGCACAUGGAUCGGCACGCCAUCUUGUUGCCCUUGAAGUCAUGGUGGCCUUUUUCCUCUUAAAUAAUUUUUGCUUUUUGACCUGAUUUACUUGGGUAUUAAUUCUACAUUGCCUGCUCAAUAUUUUCACCGUAGCUAAAAGGUUUGAUCGUCUCUCACUGAACACCUGAUAAGCUUAAUGGUUCUUCCCUGUUAUGCAAGGUGUGGAGUAGAUGAAUAAUGUAAAGCAUAGAGAAGAUGAGUAAUAAAGUAUCUCACACACGAGGAUUUGAAGGCGAUAAUGAUCCUGAACUCCAUUUCGUAGCCGCCCGCCGAAGGUAAUAAGAAACUUUUGUUACAUGAUUUUAUUACUUAAACUCAUUCUGUAACAAUUAGCUACGCACACAUGUCUGAAGAUGUAAAGAGCAGAGGUGGUCAUUUCAGAGACGUCUUAUCAGAUUUGAAUUGAUCAAUGAUGAACUUAACAAUGUUCAAUAUAAUCAAUACAUGAUCAAUCCUGAAUGGUAAGUUUCUAAUCUGUUUCACCUUCUUUUUACCUUAUGGCGUGCAUCUGUUUUGACAUUUUUUCGAAGUUGGUUUCACUUUUUCCCGUUAUAUAUUCUUAGAGCAGCACUUGGUUCGUAUUGCUUUAAAGGUUCCUAUUUAUUUAUAACCUUCCUGUGUUUUGCCUUUUUUAAUCACUGCUUAAGACAAAAGUAAAAUUGAUUAAACAGGAAUACUCAUAAACUUCAGCAUUUCUAAUUUAGAUACAUGUUCUGUAGAAUAAAGGACUUUGCAAUUGCCGAGUUUUUCGGAAUUCAGAUUCCUUGCUGAGAUGUUAAUAUGGUUUUCUGGGUUGUUGUUUUUGGGUAUCUAAAUACAUGUACUGAGCAAUUGCUGAGUUUUUCAGAAUUCAGAUUCAUGGAGCUUGCUGGGUUGUUUCAAAAAGAGGCUUUUUUGAUGGGUGGGAUUCUUGGGAUGAACACUUAAUCUGACCUUCACUGUUGGUCAUUUACUUUAGAUAAGAAAGCUUAAACUGGGAAAUGAUUCGUGACAAGGGGGUAAUGGGGCCGUGAAGCGUGAUAUUGGGGAUUCCAUUACCUUGAAUACUAUCCAUCAGCCAAGAAGCAUUUAUCCCUGUUGCACGCCUUUCGCAUUUCAAAAUUGAAGAUGAGGCGAUAUGACACAAAUGAUGAUGAAGUCUGUUGUCCAGUCUGAAAAGUUCCUUACAGACUCUAAAAGUUGUGUACAAAAGUGGAUCCUGCAAUUCUCAACUUAGCUCGAUAUAACUAUAACGCCGCAUCUCCCUUUUGACUACAUAAAUCAUCUGAAGAGUCCAAUGGAAAUACAUGAAGAGGCUGAGAAUGCAACUGGUAAGGACUUUAGCACUACGAUAUAGACUUAAGAUCAAUGAUGUUAGGGUUAUAUGUGCAAAUGAAGCAAUGUGUUAGGUACACUCUCUUUAGGCUCUCUUCAUGGGCAAGCAAUUGGAAUUGUAUUUGCUGUCUUUGCUCAAAUGGCAGAGCACAUGGUUUUAACCCAUGUAGUUGUGGGUUCGACUCCCACAGAUAGCAUAGUUAGAUGAGUAAUCCAAAACGUUAUAUGCAUUCUGAUACCAGUAUAUAGAUAUGAUGGAACAUAAGCACAUGUAGAAAAAAUUUCAUUUCUAUAUUGUCUUCUGUCAAACAAAAACUAAUAUUGUUUUCUCAGCACUUUUUUCUGGAAGAGAACAUGUUGGAAGUUGAUUGCCUUUGCGUA
This is a long non-coding RNA of Papaver somniferum (opium poppy), 2383 nucleotides long. RefSeq lists it as uncharacterized. The transcript is spliced from 9 exons. The record is from RefSeq and is a predicted model, not a curated record. Lineage: Eukaryota; Viridiplantae; Streptophyta; Magnoliopsida; Ranunculales; Papaveraceae.